Molecule: small nucleolar RNA, 131 nt
Filed under: Mus pahari (shrew mouse)
Lineage: Eukaryota; Metazoa; Chordata; Mammalia; Rodentia; Muridae
Description: snoRNA (MGP_PahariEiJ_G0034531.1)
Rfam family: Small nucleolar RNA SNORA38
About the family: ACA38 is a member of the H/ACA class of snoRNA that guide the sites of modification of uridines to pseudouridines.
Source: RNAcentral
UCCUCCUACAAAGGCAUGUUUUUGAUUCCCUGUCCUUGGACACGUAAGAAUCGAGGCAAAGAAAUGUGGUGGAUUUGGAAAGGUCUGGGGCCAGCUCCCCCCAGCCCCAGCAGGCUCAAGAUCAACCAUCC